Molecule: non-coding RNA, 28 nt
Filed under: Homo sapiens (human)
Lineage: Eukaryota; Metazoa; Chordata; Mammalia; Primates; Hominidae
Source: RNAcentral
UNCCUGUAGUCUCAGCUGGGGUCAAAGG